AGAGUUUGAUCCUGGCUCAGGAUAAACGCUGGCGACAUGCCUUAGGUAUGCAAGUCGAACGAUACUGAGAGCAAUCGAAGUAAAGUGGCAGACGGGUGGGUAAUGCACAGGAAUCUACCCUUUGGUGGGGAAUAUCCCGGCGAAAGCCGAGGUAAUUCCGCAUAAACCCCGAGAGCAAUCGAAGGGAAAAGACCGUAACUGGUCGCCGUUGGAUGAGCCUGUGUCCUAUCAGCUUGUUGGUGAGGUAAUAGCUCACCAAGGCGAUGACGGGUAGGGGCGCUGAGAGGCUGGUCCCCCACAAUGGCACUGAGACACGGGCCAUACACCUACGGGUGGCAGCAAUCGGGAAUAUUGCGCAAUGGACGCAAGUCUGACGCAGCGAUGUCGCGUGAAGGAUGAAGGCCUUCGGGUUGUAAACUUCUUUUAGUCCGGCACAUGCCGGGCAGAAUAAGCACCUGCAAACUACGUGCCAGCAGCCGCGGUAAUACGUAGGGUGCGAGCGUUAUCCGGAUUUAUUGGGGCGUAAAGAGUUUCGUAGGCGGUUUGACGCGUUUGUGGUUAAAGCCCCCGACUUAAUCGGGGAAAUGCUGCAAAUACGGUCAGAUUUGAGGGUACUAGAAGAUGUUGGAACUCCUGGUGAAGGGGUGAAAUCCGUUGAUAUCAGGAGGAACACCAAGGGUGAAGGCAAACAUCUAGGGUAUCCCUGACGCUGAUGAACGAAAGCUAGGGGAGCGAAAGGGAUUAGAGACCCCUGUAGUCCUAGCCGUAAACGAUGGGCGCUAGGGGGGCGCCGUAAGGUACCUCCUGUAAGCUAACGCGUUAAGCGCCCCCGCCUGGGGAGUACGGCCGCAAGGCUAAAACUCAAAGGAAUUGACGGGGACCUGCACAACCAGUGGAGCAUGUGGUUUAAUUCGACACGAAGCGCUUAACCUUACCUGGGUUUGACAUGCUAGCUGCACGUCCGCCGAAAGGCGGAUCGCCUUCGAGGGUGCUAGCAAAGCUGCUGCAUGGCUGUCGUCAGCUCGUACCGUGGGGUGUUCCCUUAAGUGGGGUAACGAGCGCAACCCUCGUUCUGUGUUAAAUAUUCACAGAAGACAGCCCCGAAUUAUGUCGGGGAGGAAGGAGAGGAUAACGUCAAGUCAGCACGGUGCCUAUGCCCAGGGCAACACACAUCCUACAAUGGCGAAUAACAAAGGGUUGCCAAGCCGCAAGGCGGAGCUAAUCCCGGAAAUUUCGCCUCAGUUCAGAUUGCGGGCUGCAAUUCGCCCGCAUGAAGUCGGAAUUGGUAGUAAUCGCGGGUCAUCAGACCGCGGUGAAUGCGUUCUCAGGUCUUGUACACACCGCCCGUCAGUUCAGCAAAGUCGGCCGCGCCCAAAUCCGCCAGUUGGCGGAUAAGGUGAGGUCGGCGAUGAGGAAUAAGUCGUAACAAGGUAAGC
Molecule: ribosomal RNA, 1436 nt
Filed under: uncultured bacterium
Lineage: Bacteria
Description: bacterial SSU rRNA
Rfam family: Bacterial small subunit ribosomal RNA
Source: RNAcentral